CGGGUGAGUAACACGUAUCCAACCUGCCGUCUACUCUUGGACAGCCUUCUGAAAGGAAGAUUAAUACAAGAUGGCAUCAUGAGUCCACAUGUUCACAUGAUUAAAGGUAUUCCGGUAGACGAUGGGGAUGCGUUCCAUUAGAUAGUAGGCGGGGUAACGGCCCACCUAGUCUUCGAUGGAUAGGGGUUCUGAGAGGAAGGUCCCCCACAUUGGAACUGAGACACGGUCCAAACUCCUACGGGAGGCAGCAGUGAGGAAUAUUGGUCAAUGGGCGAGAGCCUGAACCAGCCAAGUAGCGUGAAGGAUGACUGCCCUAUGGGUUGUAAACUUCUUUUAUAAAGGAAUAAAGUUGGGUAUGCAUACCCGUUUGCAUGUACUUUAUGAAUAAGGAUCGGCUAACUCCGUGCCAGCAGCCGCGGUAAUACGGAGGAUCCGAGCGUUAUCCGGAUUUAUUGGGUUUAAAGGGAGCGUAGAUGGAUGUUUAAGUCAGUUGUGAAAGUUUGCGGCUCAACCGUAAAAUUGCAGUUGAUACUGGAUAUCUUGAGUGCAGUUGAGGCAGGCGGAAUUCGUGGUGUAGCGGUGAAAUGCUUAGAUAUCACGAAGAACUCCGAUUGCGAAGGCAGCCUGCUAAGCUGCAACUGACAUUGAGGCUCGAAAGUGUGGGUAUCAAACAGGAUUAGAUACCCUGGUAGUCCACACGGUAAACGAUGAAUACUCGCUGUUUGCGAUAUACAGCAAGCGGCCAAGCGA
This 750-nucleotide ribosomal RNA is filed under the name uncultured bacterium. RNAcentral's name for it is "bacterial SSU rRNA". It matches the Rfam family "Bacterial small subunit ribosomal RNA", at positions 103 to 854 of the family's 1533-position model. The record is from RNAcentral.